Molecule: long non-coding RNA, 237 nt
Filed under: Carica papaya (papaya)
Lineage: Eukaryota; Viridiplantae; Streptophyta; Magnoliopsida; Brassicales; Caricaceae
Description: long non-coding RNA (CPAP_LNC003254)
Source: RNAcentral
UAUAUCUAAUUGGUAUAUGUGUAUACUUAAUUAAUUAAUUAAUUAGUUUAAUAGUUGAUGCAUUUAUUCUUUUACAAGAGAUCAUAAGUUCGAGUGAGAUUAUACUUUUAUGUGUGUUACCAUUUGAAAGAUACGUUGAAUUGUAAUUUUUUUAAAAAAUAAUUAGCUAAUUUUAAUUGUAGCGUUGGUGCUUGUCGAUUGGCACUGAAAUAUGAGGAAUUCAUCAAAGCAUCUGAU